GCGGCCGGGGGUAGGCGCCCACGCCGCGCCCACGCUCCCGCUCCUGGGUGCCAGGCAGCCGCGCAGGGGAAAGGCCUGUGGCUAUCUGACCCCAGAAGAGGAUUUCAGAGGAGGGAGCCAGCCAAGGAUGUCCCAAGGCCCGGCUGACUUCUCAGCUGUGACCGAUUUUGAAUUUGACUGAAUGGCACCAGGUUCUCCUAGUCAGGAGGUAAG
Molecule: long non-coding RNA, 213 nt
Organism: Mesoplodon densirostris (Blainville's beaked whale)
Lineage: Eukaryota; Metazoa; Chordata; Mammalia; Artiodactyla; Ziphiidae
Exons: 3
Source: RefSeq, a predicted model, not a curated record